RNAcentral lists this ribosomal RNA (497 nucleotides) under uncultured bacterium. RNAcentral describes it as "partial 16S ribosomal RNA". It matches the Rfam family "Bacterial small subunit ribosomal RNA", at positions 28 to 507 of the family's 1533-position model. The record is from RNAcentral.
GAUGAACGCUGGCGGCGUGCCUAAUACAUGCAAGUCGAGCGAACAGACGAGGAGCUUGCUCCUCUGACGUUAGCGGCGGACGGGUGAGUAACACGUGGAUAACCUACCUAUAAGACUGGGAUAACUUCGGGAAACCGGAGCUAAUACCGGAUAAUAUGUUGAAUCGCAUGGUUCAACAGUGAAAGACGGUCUUGCUGUCACUUAUAGAUGGAUCCGCGCCGCAUUAGCUAGUUGGUAAGGUAACGGCUUACCAAGGCAACGAUGCGUAGCCGACCUGAGAGGGUGAUCGGCCACACUGGAACUGAGACACGGUCCAGACUCCUACGGGAGGCAGCAGUAGGGAAUCUUCCGCAAUGGGCGAAAGCCUGACGGAGCAACGCCGCGUGAGUGAAGAAGGUCUUCGGAUCGUAAAACUCUGUUAUUAGGGAUGAACAAAUGUGUAAGUAACUAUGCACGUCUUGACGGUACCUAAUCAGAAAGCCACGGCUAACUACGUG